GAAUUCAUGAUUCUUCUUAUGGAGAACCAAAACCUACCUAAUGUAGCCAGACUGCGGCGAAGGGGACAUCCUAUUCCUUUUUCCAAGCUGGAAAAAUGCAUGGCAAGGAAGUCAUCAUAUACUGCAGUUAUUGUUGCUUCAAAAGAAAAAAUAUACUGCAGUUGUUAUUUGAUCAAAUAAACUCUAAUCCAUAGGACAAAUUUGGUAAUAGGGAGUGUUUUUUUUAAUCUAGUUAUUCGUAAUGUUUUGAAAUAAAAAUGCUUGCAAGUUGCAACAUCUGCUUGGGCCUCAUGUGUAAACAAACAUAUUUUCCCAAUUGGGUUGUCAACUUCACGUGAACCUUUAAGGCUUAAGCUACUUAUUUGAAAUUAAACAAAGAAGGAUAGAACUAUUAUUUGAAACAUCAUAAAUUUUUCUCCAACUAUCCAAGGGAUGCACAGACCCUUGAUCUGCGCUCAUGGACAUGUUCUACAUCUUUAAUGUAAAUCUGUCAUAGGGAAGAAUUUAUCCCGACUUCCUAUUUUUCAACUACCUCGUAUAACUUCUAGUACAUCUUUAUGGAAUGCAGGGGACCUUGUCGGAGGAUUAAUGCAAGUGGAUCACAUAUAUAGGGACGCUACACCAUGGAUUUUGUGGUCUAAGAAGCAAGAUUUGGAGUUUUUUCAAUGCCCAUUUGCAGAAUGGAUUAUACAGGAAGGCUGAAGGUAUGAGGGAUGCAGGAAGCAACAUCCCACAAUCUUCAUGCACCUCCUUGUGUGCAAUUGCAAACAAAAUUGCCUCAACCAGAAAAAAUUCAAAAAUUUGGGAGUUUCUAUGGACAAUCGUAGCAGCUACAUCCUAUGCGAUAUUGGAAGGAACGCAACGGUAGGAUUAAAAAGGGUACUACUACUAAAACACUCAAACAUGGUGGAAAUCACUUUUGAAGAGUCGAAAUUCAAAAAACCACACCGCAAUAAGAAGGAAUCUGCUGCAUAGUGGUGCUGGGAGGCAUAUGCUCUAGCACUAUGUAGUGAUCAACAAGGCAUUAAUUAAAAUAUUUGGUCAGUAUGUAAUAAAACAAAACGAAUAUAUCAGAUUUAUUUCGCAACGUUUUGAACUUCGGAGUUCAAAUCAUGGAUCUGGUGGUUCGACUAAUUUAGAUGGUAG
This 1146-nucleotide long non-coding RNA is filed under the name Zostera marina. RNAcentral's name for it is "long non-coding RNA (ZMAR_LNC004666)". The record is from RNAcentral. Lineage: Eukaryota; Viridiplantae; Streptophyta; Magnoliopsida; Alismatales; Zosteraceae.